GCAGCAACUCAUUUUCUCUGGGACCCCUCUCUGCACGGAGAGCUCUUCUCUUUCUUUCGCCUAUUAAACUUACAUGGCCGUGGGACAAUGAACCUCAGGUAUUACCCCAGAGAAACAACAUCGCUUCAUUGAGGGGAAUGCAAAAAUGUAGUAAAGGAAAUUGAGAAUGAGAAGCCAAUAAAGUAGGUAAGAAACAAGGUAGAGUGACAUCAUGGAAGCCAAACAAAGCAAGUGUUUCCAGGAUGAAGGCGUGAUCAACUGGGUCAAAUGUAUGGUGACAGAUCAAAUAAGAUGAGGACUAAUCAUUAAUCAUGGAUUUUAGCAACACUGAGUCCCUGUGGACCUUUACAGGAGAAGUUCUGGUGGAGGGCUGAGAGCAAAAGCCUGGUUGAAGUGAGUUUGAAAAGAUGUGAAAUGUCCUUCCAAGUGUUCCUGAAACAAGGAGAUAUUUGAAGUCUCUCCAGCCUGAUAUCCCCAGUGGAAAUAAGUCAAUGUUGGAACAAGAAGUAUGAGCAACCAGAAUUUAAAAAAAUCUUGCUAAGGUUCUGAACAUAGAAGAGGUCUGUUUUCCUAUCAUUCGACACUGAAAUGACGUUUCCAGGAUAAAAUUCUCCAAUUCAUGUCGAGUGUGCUUAUCCAUGUUUUCCCCAGGUGACCAUCUAACCCCCUCAAUAUUUUUUUCCACCAGGUGGCAAUGCCCUCUUACUAUUGAAGAGCUGAAAGCUCAACAUGACAAAAACAGUGAAUAACCUGGGUUUCUGAAAGAACAUUCUGACAACUGUCUUUGUUUAGAAAGUUGACAUUUUCAUCAGAGUUGCCUCCUGGAAAAUCCAUUACAGAUUCCCAAACUGCUGAUUAUACACAACCUGAGAAGAAAUCUAAGGGAAGGUGACUGGCUGCUUUAUAUCAAAAGAAGGUCACCUAAUGUCUUAAACUCAAAGUGUGUUUUUUUUUUUUAGAAAGAAGGAGAAAAGGUUUUUGAUAAUCUGAAAUUUUGGCAGCAUAGGGCAGAUAACAGAAAGUCUGAUCUACUCUCAAGAAAGAAAGGAUGGAUAAAACAAUUGAUUAAGAAAAAAAACACAAAAUGAGAGAGUGAGGGAAAAUUUUAGGGAUUGAUUUAUAUAUAUUUUAAAUUAGUAAUCAAUAAAUAUUUGAUGAAUGAAUGAAAGGACAGAAAAGAGAGUAUCUGAUGAAAUGCAAUAUUCUAUGAUCUAGUACUCCAGAAAUUGUUGAAAGAAAAGGAAACAUUUUGAGAAACAUCAAGUUUAGAAUAUAGACUGGAACAGGGGUCAGCAAACUGUGAUCCAUGAGACCAUUCUGGCUUAACACCUGUUCUUGCAAAUAAAGUUUUAUUGGAACAACCACAUUCAUUUAUUCACAAAUCAACUAUGGCUGCUGCCAUGUGCUGUAACUGCAGAACUAUGUGUUUUCCACAUAACACCAGGCCCACAAAUCCUAAAAGACUUACUAACUGGCCCUUACCAUGAAAAGUGUGAUGAUUUCUGGAGUAGCAUUUAAGGACAUGGGUUUUAGAACCAGAUAAAUAUAAACUUCAGUCUCAGUUCUAACACUUAAUAGCUGUUUGACCUUAACUAAAUUGUAAGGGUUAAUGUAGGCCUUGCUUUUAAAACACUUAGCACCCUGCUGAUACACAGAAAUCAUAUUACUCAUUACUAUCUCUCUUGUGUAAACUCAAUGAGAAACUGAGAUAAUUUCCUCAACUCUCAUUAAUCCUCAAAAACGAAAAUAUUUUGUAAUUAUAGACAAACGGUGGAGAAUAAAUGUACCUCCUUUUAAUUCUGGCAAACCUGCUUUCUCCAAAUAACUCCUCUCUGUUUCCUUCUCUUUCAGUAGAGUCAAACUCUUGAUGACGGUAUUUAGCAGUUGGUAAAUGCCUAGUGUGCUGAGUCUGUGCAGAUCUGAUACUCUUCACAGUCCCUGACCAAAGCCCCGGAUCCUGAAUCUUACAAAAUGCAAUGGAAUCUUGAAAAAUAGAAAAGACAUGGGUGUUAUCACCAGGCCAACUUUAUGGGAAUUUGAAAUACUAAUAACAUCAACAAAUAACAAUACAUGGAGCAGUGAUAUGACAAGAGCCGUAACUCCCAUAGCAGGUAAGUAGCACAUUGUCAGUAAGGAUGUGGAAAUCAAAGUUUAAUUGUCCUGAGGUUUCUCAGAUUCCUUUUCCUUUCCUGGUGAGGGUGGCAAUGUGUGCCCCUGACACAAUGCACUCUAAUUUCCUUCUAUUUCCUUAGCAUAGGCCCUCAAAGCCCCAUUAUUCCAGAUUUUGUGAUAAACAAAUAUUAAAACAAAUAAAAAAUAAAUGAGCUUACAUGGGAUACCUUUCUACCUCAACAUUGCAACCUGCUUCCCCUCAAUUUCCAGUCUUGCUUGCUUUGCUUUAAUAAAAGUUUCCAAAUGGUUCUUCUUUAAAACAUACUUUUGCAACACCAAAAAAGCUAACUGCAUUGAAGAAUGGCUCUGAUGUUGUUCAAUGUGCGCAACACAGAAUUCAAUAAAAACACAUUUGAUUUUAAAGGGAUU
RNAcentral lists this long non-coding RNA (2541 nucleotides) under Homo sapiens (human). RNAcentral's name for it is "HSALNT0244648". Lineage: Eukaryota; Metazoa; Chordata; Mammalia; Primates; Hominidae. The record is from RNAcentral.